AAAUUGAAGAGUUUGAUCAUGGCUCAGAUUGAACGCUGGCGGCAGGCCUAACACAUGCAAGUCGAGCGGUAGCACAGAGAGCUUGCUCUCGGGUGACGAGCGGCGGACGGGUGAGUAAUGUCUGGGAAACUGCCUGAUGGAGGGGGAUAACUACUGGAAACGGUAGCUAAUACCGCAUAACGUCGCAAGACCAAAGUGGGGGACCUUCGGGCCUCAUGCCAUCAGAUGUGCCCAGAUGGGAUUAGCUAGUAGGUGGGGUAACGGCUCACCUAGGCGACGAUCCCUAGCUGGUCUGAGAGGAUGACCAGCCACACUGGAACUGAGACACGGUCCAGACUCCUACGGGAGGCAGCAGUGGGGAAUAUUGCACAAUGGGCGCAAGCCUGAUGCAGCCAUGCCGCGUGUGUGAAGAAGGCCUUCGGGUUGUAAAGCACUUUCAGCGGGGAGGAAGGCGGUGAGGUUAAUAACCUCAUCGAUUGACGUUACCCGCAGAAGAAGCACCGGCUAACUCCGUGCCAGCAGCCGCGGUAAUACGGAGGGUGCAAGCGUUAAUCGGAAUUACUGGGCGUAAAGCGCACGCAGGCGGUCUGUCAAGUCGGAUGUGAAAUCCCCGGGCUUAACCUGGGAACUGCAUUCGAAACUGGCAGGCUAGAGUCUUGUAGAGGGGGGUAGAAUUCCAGGUGUAGCGGUGAAAUGCGUAGAGAUCUGGAGGAAUACCGGUGGCGAAGGCGGCCCCCUGGACAAAGACUGACGCUCAGGUGCGAAAGCGUGGGGAGCAAACAGGAUUAGAUACCCUGGUAGUCCACGCCGUAAACGAUGUCGAUUUGGAGGUUGUGCCCUUGAGGCGUGGCUUCCGGAGCUAACGCGUUAAAUCGACCGCCUGGGGAGUACGGCCGCAAGGUUAAAACUCAAAUGAAUUGACGGGGGCCCGCACAAGCGGUGGAGCAUGUGGUUUAAUUCGAUGCAACGCGAAGAACCUUACCUGGUCUUGACAUCCACAGAACUUUCCAGAGAUGGAUUGGUGCCUUCGGGAACUGUGAGACAGGUGCUGCAUGGCUGUCGUCAGCUCGUGUUGUGAAAUGUUGGGUUAAGUCCCGCAACGAGCGCAACCCUUAUCCUUUGUUGCCAGCGGUUCGGCCGGGAACUCAAAGGAGACUGCCAGUGAUAAACUGGAGGAAGGUGGGGAUGACGUCAAGUCAUCAUGGCCCUUACGACCAGGGCUACACACGUGCUACAAUGGCAUAUACAAAGAGAAGCGACCUCGCGAGAGCAAGCGGACCUCAUAAAGUAUGUCGUAGUCCGGAUUGGAGUCUGCAACUCGACUCCAUGAAGUCGGAAUCGCUAGUAAUCGUAGAUCAGAAUGCUACGGUGAAUACGUUCCCGGGCCUUGUACACACCGCCCGUCACACCAUGGGAGUGGGUUGCAAAAGAAGUAGGUAGCUUAACCUUCGGGAGGGCGCUUACCACUUUGUGAUUCAUGACUGGGGUGAAGUCGUAACAAGGUAACCGUAGGGGAACCUGCGGUUGGAUCACCUCCUUACCUUAAAGAA
This 1550-nucleotide ribosomal RNA is filed under the name Klebsiella pneumoniae. RNAcentral's name for it is "bacterial SSU rRNA". It matches the Rfam family "Bacterial small subunit ribosomal RNA". The record is from RNAcentral. Lineage: Bacteria; Pseudomonadati; Pseudomonadota; Gammaproteobacteria; Enterobacterales; Enterobacteriaceae.